AAAGGCAAGAUGCGUAAAGUAAGUAUCUUGAAAUAAUGGAUAGCUUUAAAACUCCAGCUUGAUCAUCAUAAGCUAAAACAUAAACAUAUAUGCUUACGUUUAAGCUUCCAACCAUAGCGAAAGUAAAAAAAAAUAAACAUUACAUUAUUUUUUUGUUUCUUAUGAAGAUAGGAUGUUCAAUAAUCUCCCUUUAAUUCUUUAUUUCGAAAGUGCACGUCAGUACUAACUAGGCUGCAAUACAACGUGGACGGAACAAACCUCAUAUUUUGUAUUUCAUGGAAAGAAGCACUAACGAAAGAGAUAGAGAUGCAUUCAUAUAUAGUUAAAGACGAGAUAAGCACAUACA
This 346-nucleotide long non-coding RNA is filed under the name Olea europaea (common olive). RNAcentral's name for it is "long non-coding RNA (OEUR_LNC006213)". The record is from RNAcentral. Lineage: Eukaryota; Viridiplantae; Streptophyta; Magnoliopsida; Lamiales; Oleaceae.